This 765-nucleotide ribosomal RNA is filed under the name uncultured Streptococcus sp. RNAcentral describes it as "bacterial SSU rRNA". It matches the Rfam family "Bacterial small subunit ribosomal RNA", at positions 28 to 776 of the family's 1533-position model. The record is from RNAcentral. Lineage: Bacteria; Bacillati; Bacillota; Bacilli; Lactobacillales; Streptococcaceae.
GAUGGACGCGGGCGGCGUGCGUAAUACAUGCAAGUAGAACGCUGAAGCUUGGUGCUUGCACCGAGCGGAUGAGUUGCGAACGGGUGAGUAACGCGUAGGUAACCUGCCUCUUAGCGGGGGAUAACUAUUGGAAACGAUAGCUAAUACCGCAUAAAAGACGAUAUCGCAUGAUAUUGAUUUGAAAGGUGCAAAUGCAUCACUAAGAGAUGGACCUGCGUUGUAUUAGCUAGUUGGUGAGGUAACGGCUCACCAAGGCAACGAUACAUAGCCGACCUGAGAGGGUGAUCGGCCACACUGGGACUGAGACACGGCCCAGACUCCUACGGGAGGCAGCAGUAGGGAAUCUUCGGCAAUGGGGGCAACCCUGACCGAGCAACGCCGCGUGAGUGAAGAAGGUUUUCGGAUCGUAAAGCUCUGUUGUAAGAGAAGAACGAGUGUGAGAGUGGAAAGUUCACACUGUGACGGUAACUUACCAGAAAGGGACGGCUAACUACGUGCCAGCAGCCGCGGUAAUACGUAGGUCCCGAGCGUUAUCCGGAUUUAUUGGGCGUAAAGCGAGCGCAGGCGGUUAGAUAAGUCUGAAGUUAAAGGCUGUGGCUUAACCAUAGUACGCUUUGGAAACUGUUUAACUUGAGUGCAAGAGGGGAGAGUGGAAUUCCAUGUGUAGCGGUGAAAUGCGUAGAUAUAUGGAGGAACACCGGUGGCGAAAGCGGCUCUCUGGCUUGUAACUGACGCUGAGGCUCGAAAGCGUGGGGAGCAAACAGG